AUUGAACGCUGGCGGAAUGCUUUACACAUGCAAGUCGAACGGCAGCACGGACUUCGGUCUGGUGGCGAGUGGCGAACGGGUGAGUAAUACAUCGGAACGUGCCCAGUCGUGGGGGAUAACGUAGCGAAAGCUACGCUAAUACCGCAUCCGAUCUAAGGAUGAAAGCGGGGGAUCGCAAGACCUCGCGCGAUUGGAGCGGCCGAUGGCAGAUUAGGUAGUUGGUAGGGUAAAGGCCUACCAAGCCGACGAUCUGUAGCUGGUCUGAGAGGACGACCAGCAACACUGGGACUGAGACACGGCCCAGACUCCUACGGGAGGCAGCAGUGGGGAAUUUUGGACAAUGGACGAAAGUCUGAUCCAGCCAUUCCGCGUGCAGGAUGAAGGCCCUCGGGUUGUAAACUGCUUUUGUACAGAACGAAAAGGCUCUGGUUAAUACCUGGAGCUCAUGACGGUACUGUAAGAAUAAGCACCGGCUAACUACGUGCCAGCAGCCGCCGUAA
RNAcentral lists this ribosomal RNA (500 nucleotides) under uncultured bacterium. RNAcentral describes it as "partial 16S ribosomal RNA". It matches the Rfam family "Bacterial small subunit ribosomal RNA", at positions 30 to 523 of the family's 1533-position model. The record is from RNAcentral.